Molecule: small nuclear RNA, 24 nt
Filed under: Arabidopsis thaliana (thale cress)
Lineage: Eukaryota; Viridiplantae; Streptophyta; Magnoliopsida; Brassicales; Brassicaceae
Description: snRNA_07945
Source: RNAcentral
CGAAAAAUUUGUACUGAACCGUUU